GGGUCAAGAAUGCUGGAAAGUGUUAAUGGCAGUUUUAUCAUGGAGGACCUCAAGGACAUUUGUGUAAGAAAGAAGUUGGAAUCUACAAUGUCCUCCACCAAUCCAUGUGUUGAAUGUUGGUUCCCAACUGGUGGUGCUGUUUUGAGAGGUUCUUGAAGAACCCUUUGCUCGGAUCCUUGUGAAGCGUUGUAGCCCCGUAACCGCCAACAGCUCCCUGCAAUUAAUAUGGUCAUUUUUCUCUGUAUUCCAUGAAAAUGUGUAACAAAAUAAAGACAUAAUAAAAUGAAUCUGGUGGAAUGGUGGCACACCUGCAACCCCAGUACUACCAGGGGGCCGUAAGUUUGAGGACAGACAGGGUC
Long non-coding RNA from Mesocricetus auratus (golden hamster), 359 nucleotides. RefSeq lists it as uncharacterized. NCBI's taxonomy places the organism in Eukaryota, Metazoa, Chordata, Mammalia, Rodentia, Cricetidae. The record is from RefSeq and is a predicted model, not a curated record. The transcript is spliced from 3 exons.